This 397-nucleotide ribosomal RNA is filed under the name uncultured bacterium. RNAcentral describes it as "partial 16S ribosomal RNA". It matches the Rfam family "Bacterial small subunit ribosomal RNA", at positions 523 to 918 of the family's 1533-position model. The record is from RNAcentral.
AUACGGAGGAUGCAAGCGUUAUCCGGAUUUAUUGGGUUUAAAGGGUGCGUAGGCGGUUUGCUAAGCGGGAGGUGAAAUGCCGGCGCUCAACGUCGGAAGUGCCUCCCGAACUGGUGGACUGGAAUGACUCUGCCGUGGGAGGAAUGUGUAGUGUAGCGGUGAAAUGCUUAGAGAUUACACAGAACACCGAUUGCGAAGGCAUCUCACGAAGGGUUGAUUGACGCUGAGGCACGAAAGCGUGGGGAGCAAACAGGAUUAGAUACCCUGGUAGUCCACGCUGUAAACGAUGAAUACUAGGUGUAGGGGGUAUCGACUCCCUCUGUGCCGCAGUUAACACAAUAAGUAUUCCGCCUGGGGAGUACGGCCGCAAGGUUGAAACUCAAAUGAAUUGACGGGG